AGAAUCUUUCUCCUCCCUUCUUUGUGGUUCCUGAACUGAUAAAAAUGAGCUGCAUUUGCUUACUUUAUUGGAAUACAGUCCUCCCAUAACAAGACUAAGUGAAAGAGAACAUGUUUUCCAGGGGAAGAAAGCAUGGACUACGGCGGAGCUAAACAACAUUUACCAGCCUACCACAGAGUUAUGGGGGAGAAGGUUAUAUGACCAAGAUUUAGACAACAAAAAGUGAUCAGAAGGUCAUCUGAAUAUCCAGGCACAACCCAGGCAUACUAGACCUUGAUCACACUGGAAGUGCGUGACCAUGGGGAUGUGGUGUGUAAAGCAAGAAAACAUAGGGACAGAAAUACAACACUGGAGAGAUCACUUGAUGUCAUUUCUGAUGGCUUUUAUCCAUCCUGCCCAAAUAAAAUAAACAAAUUACCCUGCUACUUUACAAUGCUAUUAAAUUUUUUUUUUAAUUUUAUACUUGGUUUGUAUUUAGCUGGAUUGCUCUAGUGUUCCUCUGAUCUAAACUAGCUGCUUCUGCACUUUUUCUAACUAACCCAUUAAUAUGCUAGUAAACUAAUAACCAACAUUUAUAUAAGGCUCUAUAUUUAAAAUGCUUUCACAUUAAUUAUCUCACUAAAUUCAGUUUAUCCUACUCCACAGAGACAACCUGGUAUUUCUAAAGUAUA
RNAcentral lists this long non-coding RNA (671 nucleotides) under Homo sapiens (human). RNAcentral describes it as "HSALNT0034522". The record is from RNAcentral. Lineage: Eukaryota; Metazoa; Chordata; Mammalia; Primates; Hominidae.